Molecule: long non-coding RNA, 9577 nt
Organism: Brassica rapa (field mustard)
Lineage: Eukaryota; Viridiplantae; Streptophyta; Magnoliopsida; Brassicales; Brassicaceae
Source: RefSeq, a predicted model, not a curated record
UUACAACUUAAUAUGUCAGUGAAUUUCAAAGUGCUUUAUGAAAUAUUAAAUUUUAAUAACAAUAGAUUUUAAAUAAACUUUAAAAAUUCUUGUUUGAAUAACAAUAGACUUAUCAUAAAGGAUUUGAACGGUAAGUGAUAGAAUAUGCUUCCACUAUUCUUGUGUAUUAUGUUUCUGUUGAUAGCAAUCCAUGUAUUAUAGGAAUAUCACCUCACGUUUGUAACGGUAUCAAAUCUAUGUAUCUCUGUAAUCAUUGUGAAUAAUCAAGAGAGUUAUUCAAACUUACAUGUAGAGCAUGAUUUUCUUUGAUCUUCCUUUUCAUUCAAAAUUUUUUUUAUCGUCAUCUUUCAAUUAUUCUUCUACAAUCGAUCUCUUAUGGCUACGGUUGAAAGAGCUUUUGGAGUGGCGAAUAUCAAAAGCACAUUCCACUAGUGCUUCAUCUUGAUGUUUUUAACUACGACACAUGGAGAGAACUUUUUAUCACCCAUUGCUUCACGUUUGAUCUCUUAGGUCAUGUCGUUUUUGACGAGUCACAUUUUUAGGUGCGCAGAAGCAAUCUUCUAAUUUAACCUCUUAUGAAUUUCUUGACUGUGCACCUUCUCCUAUUUUUCAAUCCAUCCUCCAAACAGAGUUCAUUCCAAAUGUGCCAAACACUACUUCUUCUCAUUCAUCUACAACGGUUCCUAUCACUCAAGCUGUUCCUCAGAUUGCUUCUCCACCAAGAAUGAUAACUCGAGGACAGCUAGGGAUCGUUAAACCAAGAAAGAUCUUCACUCUUUAUGCUUCCUCUACCUCUCGCAUUUUUACUACUCACCAAAAAGCCAUAUCUGAUCCCAAUUGGAAACCUUAGAUGGCGGAAGAGUAUGAUGCACAAGUUAUCAAUAAGACUUGGAGGUUGGUUUCUCGACCAAUAGAUGCUAACGUUAUUAACUCUCUGUGGUUGUAUAAGUUGAACAUGAUGCAGAUGGGAAUCCGACAAGGCACAAAUCAAGGCUGGUGGCAAAUGGAAUAACACAUGAGGAAGGGAUAGACUAUGAUGAGACAUUUAGCCCCGUCGUCAAGCCUGCUACGAUACAAACGGUUCUCAAUGUUGCUCUAAGCCACAUAUGGGAGAUGAAGCAGUUAGACGUGAAGAACACCUUUCUACACGGCUCCAUAUCAGAGGACAUUUACAUGCAUUAGCCACCAGGAUUUGUCGACAAGAACUAUCCUCACUAUGUUUGCAAGUUGGAGAAGGCAUUUGACGGGCUCAAACAGGAUCCGAGGGCGUGGAAUGCACGGUUCAGCAACUUCAUCUUGCACCUUGGAUUUAUCACAACAAGAACAGAUGCUUCUCUGUUCAUUUACAACCGUACGGAGAGAUGGCAUACCUGCUUCUAUACAUAGACGACAUCAUCUUGACAGGCUCCAUUUCUAGUUUGCUGCAACGAAUCACUACAAGCCUGAAACAAGAAUUCCCGAUGUCAUAUAUGGGAAAGCUCAAAUAUUUUUUGGGCAUAAAGGUAGAUUACAACAAAGCUGGUAUGUUCCUAUCACAAAAGCAUUACGCAACAGAGAUAAUAAAGAGAGCUGGAAUGACAGGAUGCAAACAUCUUUCAACUCCAGCUGAUGUCAAUUCAAAACUAUCGGCAGAAGGAGGAGACAAAAUCGCAAAUUCGAAGCACUACAGAAGCCUGGCUGGAGCACUGCAAUAUCUUACUUUCACCAGACCAGAUAUAGCUUAUGCUGUCCAACAGAUUUCUUGUUCAUACACGACCCGCGAUCAGAACACCUCAAUGCGCUAAAACGCAUCAUACGCUACGUGCAAGGUACUGUCGAUCACGAACUUCAAAUGUAUAAGUCAAAAAUAGACACAAUUACUGCCUAUUUAGAUGCGGACUGGGCCGCUUGUCCUGAUACAAGACGAUCAACAUCAGGCUACUGCGUCUACUUGGGAGACAACCUCAUCUCUUGGUCCUCCAAACGGCAGCAGAUUGUCUCACGCUCAAGUGCAGAGGCUGAAUAUCGAGGAGUAGCUAACACGGUAGCUGAGGCGUGCUGGAUCAAAAACAUGUUGCUCAAGCUUCAUCACCCAAUGUCCCGAGCUACAUUAGUCUUCUAUGACAACAUUAGCUCUAUAUACUUGUAUGCGAACCCCAUCAAACAUCAACGCACCAAGCAUGUGGAGUUAGACCUUCAGAGAGAAGGUAGCACUUGGUCAGGUUAAGGUCCUCCAUGUUCCGACAUCUUACUAAUAUGCUGACAUCUUCACGAAAGGCUUACCUUCCUCACUAUUCUUUGACUUUAGAACCAGUCUAUCCGUCCGACAACCUACCGCUUACACUGAGAGAGGGUGAUAGAAUAUGCCUCCACUAUUCUUGCGUAUUCUGUUUCUGUUGAUAACAAUCCUUGUAUUGUAGGAAUAUCACCUCAUGUUGUAACGGUGUCGACUAUAUGUAUCUCUGUAAUCAUUGUGAAUAAUCAAGAGAGUUAUUCAAACUUACAGUAAGAGCUGUGAUUUUAUUUUUUGGCUGUAUAAAUAUUGUUGUGAUUUUUUUUGCUUUGGGUUUAGAUUUUUAAUUUUUAAAAGUCUUUAAAUUUUGGUUGUAGGUAUUUGUCUCUACAGAGUAAUUAUAAAGACAUGAAUUUAAAAAGUGCCGUGAAUUUAAAAAAAAAUGGCUAUGAGCUUUAAAAAAAAUACAAAUCAAGAUUGAUGUAGAUUUAAGACUAUAUGUAUAAUUGUGGCGGUGGAGAACAUCUACAGCAAUAGCCAAUCACACCAUUUAAUACAAAUCGUUUCAAAUCUACUUUUAUUCAAAAGUGAAGUUUAAAAAAAACACUUUAAAAUAUAAGAUAAUUUCUUUUAUAAAAAAUAACAAUUCAAAUCUCGUAUUUAAAAAAAAUUAGAAUGGUAUAAGAAAAUCACACCAAAUUUUUUAGUUAUCUAAAAUCAUCCAAAAUUCUACUUAAAUAUAUCACUUCAAAUUUGAAAUUAAAUACACCCCUAUAAGUAUUUUACUCGAUUUGAGUUACAAAAUACUCAAACUGAUCAUGUAUAUUGUAUUUUAAAAUUUUGUAUAAUCUAUAUCCAAUCUAAUUUCUAGUAGAUAUCCUAAAAUUUGAAAAUAUAAUUUGUAGACCUGUUAAUAUCCAAAAUAAGUAUUCCUAAUUUAAAUUAUAUCUCAUUUUUAUUUUAAUCCAACAAUGAAAAUAUAUGAAUAUGUGACAUUAUUAACUGAAUAUUAACGGAUCUAAUUGGGUUUUAAACAAAAUUACAUGUAGUUAAACUCUCCCAAACAUAUAUAAAACCUGACUAGAUCUAUAAGCUGAAUCGUCAAAUUCAAAGAAAAAAUCCGAAAGUGAAUGAAUACCUAAACUUUUUUUUUAAUACAUAAACCUCAUUGUUUAACUUUAAACAACUGCGUCAAACAGAGAAUAAACUAAAGGUCGCAAUUUAUGUUUAAUUUGGAGAAUAGUAGCACGAGUGAAAAAAAGAGAAACAGCACAAAAGGAACAGGAAAAUAGAUUAUUUUGAUAGACUAUUUCUGUAUCAAAAGAACAGACAGGAAAUACUGUUGUUGUUUUUUACUUUAGCAUUCGGAUCGGACUUCCUAUGUAGUAACGCACGUUUGAUUACUUUAUUUUCUCGUGAGAGAAUGUCUAUUGCAAUAAUUGCCGUCGAAUAUGGAGGAUAUAUUAUUUGGUCGUCUAUAUCGUAUAACUUAACACAAAGUUAGUAGAUCAUUUAUAUAUGGCCUCGUUUGUAGAUUUGCUACUCCAAUAUGCGACUGGACGCAGGUAGUAUGUCGUAGAUCGUGUGAUAUUUAAAUGAACAGGACCAUGGUAUUUUGGUCAAACGGGUAAUAGAUUGUUUCCAUUGGGGGCGUCUACUCUUCUAAUGAAAGUUAAUUUAACAUCGUUUAAAUUUCGUUUUAGAAAAAUGUACGGCUCUUAAUAUCCAUCACCUCCUAACCACUAAAAAAAAAACAUGCAGCGAAUAUUUUUUUUUUUUAAAACAAAACUUUGAGAAUACGGAGGAAACUUUUUUUUUUCUUCGGAAAAGACUAUUAUAAAACGAUCAAAAUUACAAAGCAGGUCAUUACACCAAACACUAGAGAUCAAAGCCGGCGGACAAUAAAAAAGUCUUUGAAGAUACACAAUUCAAUAUUGGAACGCUAAGCAAAAGAGAUGAAUCCAAACCAAUAAACUCAGCUGAAACAACAAAAGAAAAAUGAAGAAAGGACGAUGAAAUCGGACUUCUCACGACACCCUCGCUACAGUAUGUCAUCUCGCUGUCAAAGCCAUGAGUUCUCUCGGAAACAUCCAAACUCCGCUUUACCAGAAGGACUGUGGACAUUAUUAACCAAUUUCGAUCGGAAGACGACGGAUUUCGUCUACGAGGAAGAGCUCCAGAGAUUUCUUGAGAGUGGUGCACUCUCAGAGCUAAGCGUCGCCUUCUCUCGUGAAGGUCCAACCAAAGAAUAUGCACAGCACAAGAUGAUGGACAAGGUAAUGAGCUUAGUAACCAGAUCUUUGUGUAGUUUCUCAGAUUCUUGAGCUUUCAGUUAUUCGCAAUGCAGGCUUCUGAUAUCUGGAACAUCAGAACAUGAUCUCUCAAGGAGCUUAUGUAUAUGUUUGUGGUGACGCCAAAGGCAUGGUAAGAAACGUUCACAGAUCUCUUCACACAAUAGCUCAAGAACAGGUUUGUAUGAGACACCCAAAAUCUUAGUAAAUAAGUUGUAUAGAUAUGAAUUCAAUUUGAGCUCUUCUGAAACCAGCCAGAUAUAACUGAAACUGAUCUCACAUAGAAGAGUAACAGUGAAGUCUUAAUGCUUUUCUUCUCUUCUUCUGUAUAUAACUUGAAAAAAAUAAGCUAAUGUUUAAUCAUUUUUUUAUUAAGAAUCUUUAAUUAAGAGACUAGCAUUAGAGCACAUAAAUAUUCAAAUCUCUUAACUAAGUGUCUUAACUAACAUUUACUAUUUAAAAAGUACUUAAGAGAUCUUAAACGGGUCUUUGGGUUAAUGAUGCUCUUAUUAAUUUAGUUAAGUAUGUUUUUUAAUAGGGCGUCAGUUUGCGUUCAUAUCCAUUGUGAUAACCCGCCUUCGCGAUAAGAAUGGUCAAGACAGAAGAUUGGUCGAACAUCUACUUGGUGGUGGAAUCGCAGGUGAUAAAGAUCGGUCGGGAAAUUUUGAAGAACGUGGUGGUCGAAGAAAUAAUCGUGAGUGAACUAUGAGUCGACAAAGUUGCUCGACCAUAAUUAGAAGAUGUCUUAGAUUGAUCAGACAGAUGUUUUGGAAGCAUAACAUUUUUGGAAGCACGACAUUUCCGAAGCACAACGUUUCUUCAGCACAAAGUAAUCCGCAAAACUUCGUAUCAGCGGAAUAUUAAAAAAUCAUAAUAUUCCGAGAGAGAGAGAUAGAAGUAGAAAAAAAAUCAAGUGAUUCCGAGAUUUCAAGAGUUUUCGAGAAUUUUCGAGAUCACUUACUACACCAGUUUUGAGUCGUCGCCUAGAGGAGUUUCUGUUUGAGUUGAGAGUUGUUCAAGGGAAGACUUUGAGGUCAGUUGGGAGAGGAGGCUACUUGAGAAGAACAAGAAAGGGUUUUGGUCGAGGAUUCGGGCAAGGGUCAAAGCCACAACGAACCAAACACUGUAAGUCAAUUGCUGACUUGUUUUCAUGCAGGUUCCCGUUACUUGGAAGUUGGAUCAUGGCAGGAGGCCGGGUCUAACUGCGUAACGGUUUGAUUAGUUAAUAGUCGUGGUUUGGUUGAUUGAGCUGAUAGCAUGAUUAGUUAUUGCUUGGGAAUCGUAGUAGCAUGCUAAUGGUUAGGCUGCUUGUUUUGUUAGCGAAUGCGAACCCUUAGAUAAUAUCGCUAGAUUGUGGAUAGAUAGGUAUUCUGGAAUCUAUCUUGGGUUGAUUGCUAGGUUGUUAGAUUGCAGGCGUUGAUAAUUAUUGCUAUUGCGUUAUUAUUUGUUUGCAUGUAGGGAUUGUGAUGAUGUUAUUGGUCAGUACUAUGGAAUUUAGUUAUUGUAGACUGAAUUUCAAGUACGCAUUAUUAUGGUUGAGUUAGUAGAGGAUUUAGGCCAUAUAGACCGAAUUCCUAGUUAGUGUUGUACUAAGGGUCCUAGGCUAUAUAGGCUGGAUUCUUGGUACUAGUGUUAUUGUCGAGCUGUGUCGAUAGCUUGUCUGAUCAGCAAUGCUAGGAUGAUACGCUGCAAGGAAAGUUACGUAAGCAUGUCCCUACGCGGCUUAGCAGAGUGGUUGCAUAAAGCAUGCUCUGUACAGGGAGGUUGCUAGGAAGCAUGCUUCGUCAUGUGGUAUCCUUGGUGGGUGCUGCAUGUUAGCUUGCGGCAAGGAAGGUUGCUAAAGUAUAUCCCCACGCGGCUGGACAGAGAGGUUGCAUAAAGCAUGCUCUGUACGGAGAGGUUGUUAGAAAGCAUGCUCCGUCAUGUGAUACCUUAUUGGAGUUACAUGUCAGUAGUUUGGAUGUUAUAGCCCGUGUGCCUCUGUGGCUGUGGCUGCGAGUUAGGUGUUCCGGGUCGAGAAUGUGAGGAGAAAGCUCAAAUGUGUUGUUCAGUGUACAAGUGUAGAGUCUUAGCAUAUAUUAUAUUAUUAUGCUAAUGGUGGAUUAUAUUCCACUGCUUAUCUUAUUUAUGUUUAUGUUCUUGUUGAGUAACUCGGGUUACUACGGGAGAAUUCUUGAGUGAUGAUUAUUAUUGUUGUUGUGUUAUUAUUCGGUGAACUUCUCGUCUUAGAUUGUUUGGGGUUGGGAUGGCGAGGGGUUGUAUUUGUUAGUUAGGACCCUGGCUCACUAAGUGACAUUAGGUUACUCAUUAAACUCAUCUAUCGUUGCAGAAAACUUUAGUGGGAGAUCGGGUAGCGUGGAAGCUGGACGUUAGGAGCAUCGAAAGUACUUUUGCCUUUCCUUUUGUAAGACGGUACUAGUUAAAGUCUUUUGACUUGAUAUUGACACUAGGUCUGGAUCCAAUUGUAAUAUUUUAUUUGUAACAAAUUUUUAUUAUAUUCAAUAAAAAUGAUGUUUUAUAUUCAUUACAAUGGUUCUCUGAUAAAUAGACUUGUCUAGUCUAAACACAACAUUAGGUUUAGGUACGGGUUGAAAAGCCUUAGGCCGCGAUCUAAAGGAACCGUUAACUCAUAGUACGGGUUGCAAAGCCUUAAGCCAUGAUUUAACGGGACAUGUUAGUGGAUGAACUGGUCAAAGUUGCGAAUUAAGUUCUGUGACUUUGACUGGAUUGUCCCUAGCCCGUCAUGUAGUGCUUCCGGACCAUGGUGUUGGGUUGGACGGUCAGUCAUGUUCUUGUUUGAUUGUUGGCUGGCCGGUUGGCCUUUCAUCUCCAACCCUUGGUGUGGGUCGUCCGUCAUUGAUUGUUGGCCGAUGGAUCGAUCUAUGCCUAGGACGGUUCGGGGUGUUACAUCCAUACCCUCGUGUCAGGAUCAUAAUAACAGGUAAAAUUUAAGUUUUUUUUGUAUAAUCCCUUAAAAAAAUUUGAAAGUGUCAUUUGCUAACACUUUAAACCUUGAAAUUUUCACUAACAUUUUUAACCUUCAAAGUGACAACAUCUAAAGAAGAAAGUUGACCAGCUAAAUAGGUAAAAAAAGAUGUGUCAGUUUUUUUUUUAAAAAAAAAAUUAAUUAAUAAAAUAAAAAAAAAUUAAUAAAAUUGGAAAAGUUAACAAAAAACUCAUAAAAUUAAAAAAAAAUCGGAUUUUUUUAAAUCAGAAAAUUAAAUAAAGAUCUAGAAAAUUAAAUAAUAAAAAUUAACUAAAAAUUCAAAAAAAAGAUCAAAUUGAAAUGUAGAAAAACUAAAAAAAUCAUAAAUUUCAAAAAAAUCCGAAAAUUCAAAAAAAAGUUUUUUGUCAUUUUCAACUAUAAAUUCGGAAAUUAUCAUUGGAGAUAUGCCAACAACCUUCAUUGUUAAUGGUUAUGUGAAAAACCGUCAUUGUCAAUUAUGAUAUAUAUAUUUUUUUAAAAAAAAUUGUAAUUUAAUUUUUUUUUUGAAAUUUUGAAAUUUCUAAUUUUUUUUAAUUUUAUGAAUUAAUAUUUUAUUUCUGUAUUUUAAUUUAAUCUUAGUUAUGUUUUUGAAUUAUUAGUUAUUUUUAUUUAAUUUAAUUUUCUAAAUUUUUAUUUUUUCUGAUCUUUGAUUUAAUAUCUGAUUUUUUUUGUUUUCUGAAUUUUUUAUUUAAUUUUAUGAAUUUUUAAUUAAUUUUCAUUUAAUUUUCUGAAUUUGUUUUAUAUGUUUUAUUUUUUGAUUAAAUAAUUCUUUUUUGAGAAGAAAACCUGACACAUUAUCUUUUUACUAGUACAACUGGUCGACUUUUUAUUUUGGAGGUUUUUUUUCUGAUAUAAAUGUCACUUUGAAAACUAAAAGUGAGUGAAAAAACUUCAAAGUUUAAAGUGUUAUAGUAAGUGACACUUUCAAAGUUUUUCUGCGAUUUUCCCUUUAAUUAACUGGAUCUUUUGUAUUGGACUAGCAUAUGUGUAUCGCAAUCUGAAAUUAACUGCUCUCAAAACCUAUUUUUUUAUUUUUUCAUAAGCAAAUAUUAUUUAUUUAUACAAAACCAUUUUUCGUUGGCCUAUAAUAAUACAUAAUAAUAGAGACAAAGAUGACAAGAAAAAAUGUUUUAUGUUGUAAAUCCUUAACAAGAAAAAUGAGAAAUAGAAUUGUCACUUUGUCAUUACUGGAAGAAAUAAGUUGAGGAUGAGAAGAUCUAAAAGAAAACAAAACAGAGUGGAAAUAGGGAAGAGUCGUUAUCUCAGAAAUGGAUCCACGUUGGUAACAUGUCCUUUAAUAAGGAUGCAUCUGCAAUUUCUUAAUAAUAAUUAUUAAUAUGGGUGAUCCAGUCCCGGUCGACGUCUGGAUUGUAACUUGUAAGGAGCAGAAUACACUAGAGCACGAAAAAUCAGACCCACCCACCCAAGGUUAAUGGCCGAAAUUCAGAUAUGGGUUACCAGUAUUGCUAUGACUUUGUUUCAAGUGAGAUUCAAACUCAUGACAGAUUAAUUUGUACUCCUUUUUCAAGAUGAUUCGUCAAGUUUAUUGGCAUUUUACCAAAUCAAGAAGAUGUAUAAGUUCAAAUAAAAUAAUCGGUAGGUACCAUGGAUGGUAUUAAACUUAUUACUCGGACUAUAGUACAUUAAAAACUCUAUAAAUUAAUAAUCACGACAUAUUAAUAAAUUUCAUUGGUUUAAAAUUUGACUGGUUCAAAAUAUGAUAUAAAUCGAUAUAAUAAAAUAACAGUUUUAGAAAUAUUAUGUAAAUAUAUGGUUCAUUUAAAUCAGAAAUUAAUAAGUAGAAACAAAACAUUGUAUUGUUUGUUUUAUAUUCACAAUGAAAUUAUCUCUAUAUCUGUUAACACUUCAAUAUAUAUUGAUAAUAUUUAGUAAAAUUAUAUUUAAAACUAAAUCUAAAUUCUAUGAAACACAUUUUAUAUACACAAAUAAUAUAAGGAAAAUAGUAUGAAAUUCAAAUUUCUAAAAUUUAAUUAAUGUAUAUAAAAAUGAAUAUUUUUUAAUUAUAAGGUAAUAUAUUCGAAUAAAAAUAUUAAAAUGAAACUUUUUAUAAACUAAUAAAUAUAUAAA